AACGAACGCUGGCGGCAUGCCUAACACAUGCAAGUCGAACGAGACCUUCGGGUCUAGUGGCGCACGGGUGCGUAACGCGUGGGAACCUGCCUUUAGGUUCGGAAUAACUCAGAGAAAUUUGAGCUAAUACCGGAUGAUGUCUUCGGACCAAAGAUUUAUCGCCUUUAGAUGGGCCCGCGUUGGAUUAGCUAGUUGGUGGGAUAAAGGCCUACCAAGGCGACGAUCCAUAGCUGGUCUGAGAGGAUGAUCAGCCACACUGGGACUGAGACACGGCCCAGACUCCUACGGGAGGAAGCAGUGGGGAAUUUGGGACAAUGGGCGAAGGCUUGUUCAAGCAUGGCCGCGGGAGUGAUGAGGGCCUUAGGUUGGAAAAGCUCUUUUACCCGGGAUGAAAUGACAGUAUCGGGAGAAUAAGCUCCGGCUAACUCCGUG
Molecule: ribosomal RNA, 432 nt
Filed under: uncultured bacterium
Lineage: Bacteria
Description: partial 16S ribosomal RNA
Rfam family: Bacterial small subunit ribosomal RNA
Source: RNAcentral